RNAcentral lists this ribosomal RNA (135 nucleotides) under Bacteroidota bacterium. RNAcentral describes it as "Bacteroidetes bacterium (groundwater metagenome) partial 23S ribosomal RNA". It matches the Rfam family "Bacterial large subunit ribosomal RNA", at positions 2781 to 2925 of the family's 2925-position model. The record is from RNAcentral. Lineage: Bacteria; Pseudomonadati; Bacteroidota.
CUAAGCGUGAAACCUUCCACAAGAUGAGUUUACUUUUAAGGGUCGUCAAAGACUAUGACGUUGAUAGGCUAUAGGUGUAAAGUUGGUAACAACAAAGCCAAGUAGUACUAAUUGCCCGUAAGCUUUAUUUUUUUU